This 71-nucleotide transfer RNA is filed under the name Candidatus Azambacteria bacterium. RNAcentral's name for it is "tRNA-Gly". It matches the Rfam family "tRNA". From Rfam's summary of the family: Transfer RNA (tRNA) molecules are approximately 80 nucleotides in length. Their secondary structure includes four short double-helical elements and three loops (D, anti-codon, and T loops). The record is from RNAcentral. Lineage: Bacteria; Candidatus Azamiibacteriota.
GCGGGUAUUGUAUAGUGGUAAUAUGCGACUUUUCCAAAGUCGAGCGGGGGGUUCGAUUCCCCCUACCCGCU